RNAcentral lists this transfer-messenger RNA (334 nucleotides) under Oscillospiraceae bacterium. Its description in RNAcentral is "partial transfer-messenger RNA". It matches the Rfam family "transfer-messenger RNA". From Rfam's summary of the family: Bacterial tmRNA, also known as 10Sa RNA or SsrA, is named for its dual tRNA and mRNA-like properties. Its role is to liberate the mRNA from a stalled ribosome. To accomplish this part of the tmRNA is used as a reading frame that ends in a translation stop signal. Lineage: Bacteria; Bacillati; Bacillota; Clostridia; Eubacteriales; Oscillospiraceae. The record is from RNAcentral.
GGGUCCGUAAAGGCUUCGACGGGGAUCUUGAAGAGCAAUAAGCGAGUAGUGAGGGCGAAAUCACUUUAAUCGUCGCAACCUAAAUUUAAACGCAGACGACAAUCUCGUUUUAGCAGCGGCCUAAGCGCCCUGCCGUCAUACUCCGCAGUACCGCGGGCGGGGAUAUGGCGUCACACAGCGGUGAACGACGUUAGCGAGUAGCCUUGCAGCUUUCGUUGUACUAAAGGCUGCCAAUCGCGAAAGCCUGUUUGUCGGCGUUCGCGGGCGGGAGAUUUAAACGACAAACUGCACUCGGAGAAGGUUGCCCGGACGGGUUUUCGGACAGGAGUUCAAU